CUGUACAAAAAGUAUACAUACUUUUAUUGUUGUUAAGAACACAAAGGUUAAGAGAAUACAUAGUCUCACCCUCACCUCAUAGUGUUUACAAGUUAAAAAUAUCUUGUUAUUGAUUGCUGCAUAGAAUUAACUUUUCUGUUAAAAUGGCAUUAAUUACUGCGUAAUUACAGUACUAAAAGAAAAAAUAUCUUUGAUUUGUGUAUACCUAUUACCGUACAGUUCUUAUUUUACAAAAUGUUACUUCUUUCCAAGAAACAUUUCAUAAUGUUGUCCAAAUCUUAAAUCUUUUGAAGGGCUGAUAAAUGUGUUAAAAUCUUUGUUGUUUUCACCAUGGGUAACAAUUAACCUAAAGGGUAGACAUAUUGAGUUAAAAUUUAAUAUGGUUGAAUCUGCCAUAAGAAGUAAAUUUCAAAUAAUUUUUUGAUUGGACUUCUGUAUGAGCUUUCGUAACGUUCGGUUGUGUGACAGUUCAGUGUGGAAGUGAUAAUUCAAAAAAAACGCAGGCGGCAAAAACAAAAUAGGAACUACAUAAUAGAGAAAAACAAAAACAAGAAGGACAAGGACCACAUAGGACCAAAAAAAAAAUAGAUCUGAAGUUGACAGGACACCUGGUUGUGCAUUGCCUUGAGCAAGACGCGCAUAACCAAUAACAUGUACUGGGUAAAUGAUUAAAAAAAAAUCGAAACCCAAAAAAAAAG
This is a long non-coding RNA of Diabrotica virgifera virgifera (western corn rootworm), 698 nucleotides long. RefSeq lists it as uncharacterized. NCBI's taxonomy places the organism in Eukaryota, Metazoa, Arthropoda, Insecta, Coleoptera, Chrysomelidae. The transcript has 2 exons. The record is from RefSeq and is a predicted model, not a curated record.